AAUUCUCAACCCCUUCAGUUUUGUUUUGCAAGCUAAGUGGGUUUGGAUGUGGAGGUGUUGCCGGCCUGGAAAAACAGGUCAGCUCCUCUGAAAUGUAUUAGUGGAACUGUUUGUGAUCCAUCAUAGGUGUGAUAAUUAUCUACGCCAGUGGGUUGCUCUCUGUGUUCUGCUACUAACCGUCCGCAAGGACACAUUAUUGAAU
This 202-nucleotide unclassified non-coding RNA is filed under the name uncultured Agaricaceae. RNAcentral describes it as "sequence contains ITS2". The record is from RNAcentral. Lineage: Eukaryota; Fungi; Basidiomycota; Agaricomycetes; Agaricales; Agaricaceae.